This is a non-coding RNA of Oryzias latipes (Japanese medaka), 2043 nucleotides long. NCBI's taxonomy places the organism in Eukaryota, Metazoa, Chordata, Actinopteri, Beloniformes, Adrianichthyidae. The record is from RefSeq and is a predicted model, not a curated record.
UUAAAAAAAAACCCUAAUAAAAUGUUUAAAACAUAACAUUUCUGUCAUGAUAAAAAAAUAACAGCAAAUAGGAAAAAAGUAAAGAAUUAGAAAACGCAGAAAACCUGGUUUCCAACAGUUCCAACGUGCUAAUGUGAGCUGAAGAUGACUGACGGCAGUGUAGAACCGACUUUGGACCUGAAACCAAGCCAGAACGUCGGGACGGAGAUGUAGCUGUUCUUUGAUCCACUUUGGUUUCAGCCGACUGUAGAAAUGACCUCCAGAUGUGAAGAAUAAGCAACCCUGAUUUAUUAAAAAAUCACUUUUUUUGGUGACUUCUUUGACCAAACAGAACAUAAAUCAUCUUUAGUUUCAUUCUAUUUUGUCUAGGUUUUUGAUGGAGGACAUAUAGACAGAAAAUUAAGAUUAAAAUUGCAUUUCUGAUUCAAAUAAAUCAGAAGAGAAGAAAAAAAGACAUUUGAUCGUAUUUGUGGUGCAGAAAGUACACUAGGUGGGCUGCUCCGCUCCAUUCUGAUAGUAUAGUUAUGACGGUGACAUAAAUCCUUGGAAAAUUUGAUAUAUUUUAUUGGAUGUUCCCUAGUUGACAUUUUUCCAAUAGUUUUGUCUUUGCUUUUUUUGAUUUUUCCAUCUUUCUUUUAUUUAUAUGCUUCAGAUCUUUGUAAUAAAACAUGAAAAACAGUUUAAUAUCAAUAUGAAGCAUUUCAUUUUCCUCUCUGGAUUGUGAUUUUUAGAUAGUUUCAAGUUUAUUUUAUAUUUGAUGAAAGAAAUAUCUGUUCAAAAAAAAGCUUUGGAUGCCAAAAAAACUAGUUUAAAGGUAAAUUUUUAAAGCAAAUUUGUACAGUAUUAAAAAACAUUCACAGGGCACCAAUUUACUUUAAGGAUUCAUUCAAAUCUUUUUCUAUUCUGCUUCUUCGCUUUCGUUUUGUCCUAUUUUCUUAAGAAACACUUAUAAAUUGAAUCAGAUAUUCCUUUUUCUGUUUGUCUUGACUUCUAUUUCUACACCAGUUAUCAUUUUUUCAUGUUAACAUCAGGUUUUAAUCAGUCGAUGCCAUAAUUUUGAAACCAUUAAAUCCCAAUUUUUCCUGUUCAAACCUCAGCGUCUGUAACAGAAUCUUUGUCAUACUUGAUCAUUUGAUGUUGUACAAUGGCCUCCACGCAUUUAACGCACUUCAGCCUCCAGCAAGAUGACAUGAUGGGUAUUAGCUGCUGUAAGUAACAGGCAGCAGGGUAGCCGGAGGAAACGGGUCAGCUCAAAGCCUAUUAAUCAUGGAAAUGCUCCCAAAUCCACUCCUUGAAUAAUCCCUCUCAUAUUUGCAGAGGCCUCCUUCGUGGUUCGGUUAAUUCCAUGUCAAGAAUCUGCACAGACUCCUUGCUCCCCCCACUUCCCGCUCAACAUUACAGCAUUUGAUCAUCCUGUGAUGGAGUUUUGUAUUUUGCUUUUGGGCCCUCAUCCUCUCCGUCAGACAGCAGCGACAGGCUUUGGUCACUGAUGCAGAGAUGCAGAGAUGCUGAGGAUGAGUGGAGGUGUUCAGAAAUCCCGGUGGGAGCCAGUUUGCUGCAGAGCGAGUCCAGGCUCUAAGAGUUUCCAUCAGAAAUGUUCCUGAACCUGCUUCUGUUCAUGUCAGCAAACAAAGCAGAGGAGGAGCUGGAGGUGGAUGUAGUGAGUGGGCGAUGCGCUCGGCGAGUUUUGGUGAAGAGGAGAGGUGGUGGUGGAGGUGAUAGGUGAUGCUGAAAGGCAGCUCCUGACCUUUAAUGAGCAGAAACCUGCAUUUUGUGUCGUCCCUUACUAAUUGCACAUUUUCUAAGCUGAUUGUAAGCUGGUUUUGCUUUUGAAUAAACUAAAAAAAGAAUUCCUGCAUUCUCAGAAAUCCUUGGCUGGAAGUCUGUUUAGCCUCCUGGGAUUUGUUUGGUUUAUUUUGUAAGUGCAGUAUGUGUUUACUCGCCACUGACAGGCUUCACAUGGCUUUGUUUUGUUGUUUUGCAGCAACAAUUUCAGUGAAUAAAAAGGCCUUUAGGGUUUUAUCAUUAUGCAAAAAAAAAAAA